This 253-nucleotide ribosomal RNA is filed under the name uncultured bacterium. RNAcentral describes it as "partial 16S ribosomal RNA". It matches the Rfam family "Bacterial small subunit ribosomal RNA", at positions 524 to 776 of the family's 1533-position model. The record is from RNAcentral.
UACGAAGGGGGCUAGCGUUGUUCGGAAUUACUGGGCGUAAAGCGCGCGUAGGCGGCUUUGUAAGUUAGAGGUGAAAGCCCGGAGCUCAACUCCGGAAUUGCCUUUAAGACUGCAUCGCUAGAAUCAUGGAGAGGUUAGUGGAAUUCCGAGUGUAGAGGUGAAAUUCGUAGAUAUUCGGAAGAACACCAGUGGCGAAGGCGACUAACUGGACAUGUAUUGACGCUGAGGUGCGAAAGCGUGGGGAGCAAACAGG